AGCCAUACAUACCAUCCCGACAAUGGCUGAUCUCAUCUGAACUCAGAAACUAAGCAGAGUCAAGGUCGGUUGGUACUUAGAUGGAAAUGCUAAAAAGACGAGCUUCUAAGAAGUGGUUAGAGGCCAUGAUAUGGCUC
This 137-nucleotide ribosomal RNA is filed under the name Meriones unguiculatus (Mongolian gerbil). The record is from RNAcentral. Lineage: Eukaryota; Metazoa; Chordata; Mammalia; Rodentia; Muridae.